UGCAGAGUAGAUUUCAAAGCGUUAAGUGCCAGGUGAACAGGGAGUUGUCACUUGGACGAAAAGACAUGUCUUGCGGUUUUGAAGUCGCAUCCCGCUGCU
Butyrivibrio fibrisolvens DSM 3071 is the source of this 99-nucleotide non-coding RNA. The record is from Rfam. Lineage: Bacteria; Bacillati; Bacillota; Clostridia; Lachnospirales; Lachnospiraceae.